AACUAAAAGUCUAACAUUCU
This 20-nucleotide microRNA is filed under the name Corchorus capsularis. Its description in RNAcentral is "sRNA CCACVL1_05132". The record is from RNAcentral. Lineage: Eukaryota; Viridiplantae; Streptophyta; Magnoliopsida; Malvales; Malvaceae.